Molecule: long non-coding RNA, 296 nt
Filed under: Elaeis guineensis (African oil palm)
Lineage: Eukaryota; Viridiplantae; Streptophyta; Magnoliopsida; Arecales; Arecaceae
Description: long non-coding RNA (EGUI_LNC061746)
Source: RNAcentral
UAUCCUUCGCAAUCAAUUCCUCUGACCAUGGGCGGCCCACUACCAGACGGUUACAAACGUCGCCAUCAAUCCGUUGCCUCCUCCGCCUAUAAAAGGGGGACCCAGAUACGUUAUUCUCUAAGCUAAUUUUCUUAUCUCAAAACUCUGCUAAAUUCUCCAUUCGAGCACUCCAUUCUUGUUGAGGCAGAGAACUGACUUGAACGUCGGAGGGUCUUGCCGGAGCAACCCCACCUCCGGUUUAGACUUCCCUUGCAGGUCCCGGUGGCGACCGCGGCUUCCCCAACUCCAGCUUCUCC